This 65-nucleotide transfer RNA is filed under the name Psilodens balduri. RNAcentral describes it as "tRNA-Leu". It matches the Rfam family "tRNA". Rfam says of the family: Transfer RNA (tRNA) molecules are approximately 80 nucleotides in length. Lineage: Eukaryota; Metazoa; Mollusca; Caudofoveata; Limifossorida; Limifossoridae. The record is from RNAcentral.
UUUGAGUUAGCAAAAUUAAUGUGUUUGAUUUAGGAUCAAAAGGUAAGAUAGUAUCUUAUUCAAAA